UGCAAACAAGAGAAAUAAAUAUCAUGGCGGCAGGAUUUGGGUUAUGAGUCUUUUGUUUGGUAUGCUGCUUAUUAUGGAUUCCGGUGGAUUCGUUUGUGCUAUACUGCAGAAUGUGGUAUGCACGAGUCUUCUAAGCUAACUGGUGUCUUUU
This 151-nucleotide non-coding RNA is filed under the name uncultured Fragilariaceae. The record is from RNAcentral. Lineage: Eukaryota; Bacillariophyta; Fragilariophyceae; Fragilariales; Fragilariaceae.